GUCUCUGAUGUAGUGGUUUGAACAUUGGACUAUGACUCUGGAGACCAGGGUUCGAAUCCCUGUUCGGCCA
Molecule: transfer RNA, 70 nt
Filed under: Phrynosoma platyrhinos (Desert horned lizard)
Lineage: Eukaryota; Metazoa; Chordata; Lepidosauria; Squamata; Phrynosomatidae
Description: tRNA-OTHER
Source: RNAcentral